Poecilia reticulata (guppy) is the source of this 383-nucleotide non-coding RNA. NCBI's taxonomy places the organism in Eukaryota, Metazoa, Chordata, Actinopteri, Cyprinodontiformes, Poeciliidae. The record is from RefSeq and is a predicted model, not a curated record.
UCCUGCUGGUAAAGAUAAUCAGCUUAUCAUCGCAGAGUCAGAUGUCGUUGGCCGGCCUGUACGUGGUGUAGCAUGCAAACAGUGUGUAUCGGCUGCAGACCUGAUGAGAAGGACAAACGGUUGAGAACGAAUCGUUUCAGGACCRAUAAGCUUUGAAAAGGUUUGACAUUGAAGGAUGGAGAAUAUCGUCGUCAGCAGCACCUCGUGGAACCAAAGCGUCAAUCAGAGCAUCUCCAACAACAGCGAUGCGUUUAACAAUAACGGUUAUGAGGAUGAAUACAGAAUCCUUGUUUUGAAAUAUGUGGAUGUGGUGGAUUGGAUCACUAUUUGUGUUGGGCUUCCUUUGACUCUGCUGACCAUAUUUGCUGUUUUAUCAAUGGUGA